UUUUUUUUUUUUUUUUUUAUACCAAAAUUACAUGCAGAACACACCAUUUGACACUACAAAAAAAUGUAUGCGAAAAACUCAUACGACGAAAACAAUGAGAAUGACGAAAAUAAUCAGAUAAACUUAGAAAAUUACAAAAAUAUUUUACAUAACAAAAAAAAGGAUUUAGGUUUAUUAGGUGCUGAUGUGUUUGGCAAAAAAGAAACAAAACCAACGACGACUAAUGAAACAGGUGGCAGUUUCGAAAACAAUACUAGUUCUACAGUUUCUGGUGAAAAAGUUCUUGCAAAUGAAAAAGAAAAAGAAGAAGAAGAAGAAGAAGAAGAAGAAGGUGAUGAUGAUGAAAGUUAUAAAAUAGAUGAAGACGAAGAAGAGGAUGAUAGUGAUGAUGAUGAUGAUGAUGAAGAGGACUAUGAAUAUGACGAUGAACUGAGUCUAAUAAAUUUCAAUUCUUAUAAUAAUUAUUAUUAUGAAAAUGUUAAGGAUGAAUAUGCCGCCAGUGUUAAUGGUAAUGCAGAAAAUGAUUGUAACAUUAACAUUAAGAAUAUUAUGAAAAAACAAAAUAAUAUAUUAUUAGACAGGAAAGAGGUAAACGAAAAAAGUGAAACAACAAAAAUAUUAAAUUUAUUAAAAAAUAAACAACAUAUAAAUGAAGAUAUAAUAUAUAGUAAUAAUUUUCUGCAAAAAAAUGAAAAAACAUAUGAAACGCAUAGUGAUGAAGGCGGGUAUGAUAGCGAAUUAUUAAAAAAGUACAAAUUAAGAAAAGAACAAAGUAAAGCUUCUCAACAAAAAGAAUCUUGUCUACAAAAUGAAACGUAUAAUACAACUACUACUAGUGAAGUAGAUGCAAAGUCAUGUUAUAGUUACAAAAGUGAAAAAACAAAUUUUUAUCAAAAUAGAAACAUGAAUGAUGAACAGGAAAAUCUAAACGAAAUAGAUGAAGAAGUUAAAAAAGACAUUAAUGAUUUUAAAAAAUAUAACGAAGAUGUAAAUCAAGACAUUUUAGAUCGAAUCGAAGAAAUUUAUAACAAAGAUACUAGAUUUCCUGAUUUGAAAUCUAUAAAUAAUAAAAAUAAUAAAGUAUGUAUUAAUGAUUUAAACUUAAGUAUUAUAAGUGAUUAUUUAAAUAUUGAUAUAUCUGUGUUUAGUAAAAAAACAACAGUUUUAUUAUUAGGUAAUACAAAUAGUGGUAAAAGUUCUUUUAUUAAUUGGUUUAAUGAAUGUUAUGUUCAAAACACAAAUAGUAUAGGAAAAAAAAAUAAAAUAACUUAUGUUGAUGUUAAGUGUAAUUUCAAAUUUAAUUUUAGUAAAUUAGAAAAU
Molecule: long non-coding RNA, 1320 nt
Filed under: Piliocolobus tephrosceles (Ugandan red Colobus)
Lineage: Eukaryota; Metazoa; Chordata; Mammalia; Primates; Cercopithecidae
Description: lncRNA (ENSPTEG00000001390.1)
Source: RNAcentral